CUUGCAAACUGGAGAUGGCGACCGGCGCACGGGUGAGUAACACGUAUCCAACCUGCCGAUAACUCGGGGAUAGCCUUUCGAAAGAAAGAUUAAUACCCGAUGGUAUAAUAAAACCGCAUGGUUUAAUUAUUAAAGAAUUUCGGUUAUCGAUGGGGAUGCGUUCCAUUAGGCAGUUGGUAAGGUAACGGCUCACCAAACCUUCGAUGGAUAGGGGUUCUGAGAGGAAGGUCCCCCACAUUGGAACUGAGACACGGUCCAA
RNAcentral lists this ribosomal RNA (259 nucleotides) under uncultured bacterium. RNAcentral describes it as "partial 16S ribosomal RNA". It matches the Rfam family "Bacterial small subunit ribosomal RNA", at positions 75 to 334 of the family's 1533-position model. The record is from RNAcentral.